GUGUUCCUUAGAACCGCGAGUUUGCGGACAAUAUUUACAUUUGAAAUCCUUCUAAUUUGGCCAUGGGAACCACAACUUCAAGCAGCCGCGUAGAAGAAACGAUCUCGACGCAUUACGAUUAUGCUUCUGUGUUGGAAGAGCAAGUCAAUGGAGAGGAAUCUUUCCGACUGUAUCGAGUCACAUCAUGUCGUUUUGAAGCCAUACUCUAUAACCCUAAACACUCACCACACUGCUUCAGUCUCUAUAGAGUACCGGAAGAAACAGAGGCUAGAAAAAAAUUCAGAGAUUUUUGUAAAAGACUAGCACCAUUUUAUCAAAGUUCUCCUAAAUGCUACAAUUCAGAAGUUCUCCAAGACCUUAUUUCCUGUUUGGAACAGCAUCCUGAUUGGUCAUUGGCUCAUGUUGCUACUCACGUGGGUCUUUCAGAAUGUCUGAAGCACAAGGAAAUUGCAGAUUCUGUGGAUAGUGCCUGUAAAGAUAAACAAAGGACUCCUCUGCACAUGGCAUCCAGGAGUGGAAAGCUGGACUUUGUGCAAACUUUAAUGGAGCAUGAUCCUAGACUCCUUGUGAAAGACAAGUCGGGCAACACACCACUUCACUACGCUGCUGAACGUUACCCUGAGAUUCUAGACUCUUUUCUGAAAAAGGCCAAAGAACUAGGUAAUCAGCUUGCAGAAGUUGUGAACACAACUAACUCUAGCAACCAAUCACCUCUGGACAUUGCCUGUCGAUACUCCCAGGGUGACAGUGUACAAAUGUUGCUAGAAGCUGGUGCUGACCCUGACAAAUCGCACAAUGGCUGUCAUCCCAUCCAUAUUGCUGUUGAUGCCAAAAGUGAUUCCUGUGUUGCCACACUUUUGGAGUUUCACCCUGAACAGGUCAAUGUCCGAGAUAGCAAAUAUGGAGGUACACCCCUACACUGGGCCAAGACCAAAGAGGCGGUUGAGCUUCUCCUUGACAGUGGAGCAGAUAUAGAAGCACAUAACCAUGAUGGCGAAACACCACUACAUAUCAUGGCUCGCCGCAAAAGACUGGAUUGUACCAUAGUACUGUUGAGCCGAGGAGCUGAAGUUAAUUCACAAAGCAAAGAUGGUUCAACUCCACUACAUCAAGCAGCAAUGGUUCAAGAUGUGGAUAUAGUGCGUGCCCUGAUUGUGUUUGGUGCAAAUGUUAACAUCACAAAUAAGAGAUACGAAACACCAAGACAUGUGGCCACUGUCGUACGUCAGCAUGGCUGGCAGGAAGUUGUACAUGCUCUUGGGUUUGUGGGUGCAGCAGCUUGCGAUAAGAGCAAGAGUAGAUGCACUUUGGAGUGCAACAAACCAUUCCAAGGAGAAAUGACAAUUGGUGGAACUCCAGUGAAAGCAGCAGAAAGAUUACCUGGUUACUAUGACAUCAUUAAGCUUGCAGCUGCUGCAGUGGCUUCCGUACUACCGCAAUCAAGGUCUUACCAAGACUCAGUUGAUGCCCCAAGAAAGGGACCCCACAAAGAAUCAAUCUUCAAGUCCCGCCACAAAAAAGAAGCCAUCCUUUCCAUGGAUGGAGGAGGAAUCAGAGGGCUUAUACUCAUACAGCUUCUACUGGCCUUGGAGGAAUUCACAAAGCAGCCAAUUAUUCAAUUGUUUGAUUGGAUAGCAGGGACAAGCACAGGGGGAAUACUAGCGCUGGCUAUAACGCAUGGCAAGUCCGCGCGAUAUUGUCAGGGCCUAUAUUUCAGAAUGAAAGACUUGGUUUUCGAAGGUCAACGGCCUUAUGACUCAGAACCACUUGAGAAAUUUCUCAAACAGGAAUUUGGAGAAAGCGUCAAGAUGACAUCAGUACUUCACCCAAGAGUGCUGGUUACGGGAGUUUUGGCGGAUCGCAGACCUGCCAGUCUACACUUCUUCCGCAAUUUUGACGUACCUGAUGAAGACUGGGAUGCUGCUCAAUCAAUUUCACGGUUUUCACUGCCACCUAAACCCUCAGACCAGCUGGUGUGGCGAGCAGCGAGAGGGACUGGUGCUGCUCCGUCGUUUUUCCGUGCUAUGGGUCCGUUCUUGGAUGGUGGAUUGAUUGCUAACAACCCAACCCUUGACGCUCUAACAGACAUUCAUAAAUACAAUCGUUUGGUACGAGGUGACACUGCCUGCUCGUUUGGACUUGUCGUGUCCCUCGGGACUGGUGUCCCGCCACCAAUGCAUGUCCAGUCAUUUGACGUAUUCAAACCAGAAUCCAUUUGGGACGCAACCAAUGUCCUCAUGGGAGCUCGUGCUUUAGGAGAAUUGCUGGUUGAUCAGGCUACUGCUACUCAUGGCGCGGUUGUUGAACGUGCGAGGGCCUGGUGCCAGAUGCUUGGCACUCCUUACUAUCGGUUCAGUUCUCCGAUGUCAUCUGAUGUUGGGCUGGACGAGACUGACGACCGUAUUUUGGUGAAAAUGUUGUGGGAGACUAGAGUGUAUGUAAUCCAGAACUACAAGGAAUUUGUUGAGUUGGGAAAGCUACUGACAUCGUAAACACAAUCUAGGGUUGUAGAGGGAAUGGAAAUGAAUAAACCGGAUUGUGGAGCAAGUCCUUUUGAUUUCUAUUUCCACAAGAAACCAUUAAAGAAUAUGAGAACCGCCAUCUACGUAGUCAAUUACAACCCCUGAGGGUCAUCAAGUUCAGAUCUGCAGGCACGAGAAACACUUUUGAUGCCAAGUGCUGAGUUGAGACGGAAGUUGUCCGUUGCAUCAAACCCUUAGCGGAGAUUUCUCUUGAUUUUAUUUUUGUAGGAGAAAGUAUUAAAACUGAAAUGUUUCGCUCGACAAAAGAUUCAUGGAGAAAGAUGUUAACUGAUUUGCUACGAGUGUAUACCAAGCAGAGAUAAUUCGUAUUAUAGAUCAUUCGUCAUGUCUUUUUUUUUAAAGCAAUUUAACUUAUUUAAAUUUAUUCCUCACUGGCACCGAGCUACAUUAGCCUUGAAUCGAUUUUCAGUUUAAAGGCAGCAGUCGUCAGUUAAGUUGAAUUUUGAUUUGAGCUCUGACUGGGAAUUUGUUUCUUAUUUAAUUCUCUCUUAAAGCGAAUAAAGAGACAAGAAUUUAUUUUUUUCCUCGGUCGGGAUCUUUAAGACAAAUUAAAUGUAUAUAGGUCCAAAUUGACACACGGAACAAUAAUAUUACUAACCAGCUGGAAGCUGCAGAUUUCAAUAACCCCAUAUGUACGUUUAAUUUCUGCUUGUCAAAAGUAUUUCUUGUCGGACUUCAAAAAUCUCGAAUUGUUGAAGUCCAAUGAAAAAUAUAUAUGUUUAGUAUCUACUGAAAACGAAAUGCAAUUCCAUGCACGACAAGCUCAGCAUGGCAAAGAAAGAAGAGAAUUAACAAAGGAUGUGUAAUCAUGUAACACAGAAAGGUCACAAGUGGAAGAAAAAAGAACAGAUGGCCUCCAUGGACCGAAUAACGCAUCUUAAUUAUAUCAUUAAAAACUCAUAUUGGGCGCAAAAUUACAUUUA
Molecule: unclassified non-coding RNA, 3466 nt
Filed under: Pocillopora damicornis (cauliflower coral)
Lineage: Eukaryota; Metazoa; Cnidaria; Anthozoa; Scleractinia; Pocilloporidae
Description: 85/88 kDa calcium-independent phospholipase A2-like, transcript variant X3
Source: RNAcentral